GCACCAUUUUUCAAAAUUUAAAAUUCAAGUCUGUUGUAUUUUCAGACCCAUAAUCAGAGUGGUUUCAUUUGCAAAUCACUAAGGAGACUGAGAACUCCAGAUAUUUAAUUUAUUCAAAUCACCCUGAGAGGUUCAUCUUCACCUCUGUAGUGUACUUUUAAUUUUAUUCUAAAUCUACUAAUUCUCAGCAAACCCUGAUAGGAUUUGGUUUCUGCAGUCAACUUUAAUCCCUUCAGAGUGGCCAAACCAAUGAAAAUGGUCAAUAGCUAAGGGGAUGGUCAAUAUGGUCAAUAAAUGGUCAAUACAGUAAGGGGAUCUAAAACUUCUCUCCAGUUUUGUGGAUCUGUAACUCAAAGAGAGCAUAACUGAAUUCCACAGCAGUAAAAGGCAACUUUGCAGUCUGAAUCUAACACAGAUUCAGAAUUUCAUUUUUGCUAUUUAUGACUUAAUAUUUUAUUGUUCAAGAAGGAAAACCUUAUUGUACUGAGCAAUUCCAUGUUGUGUCAUUGUAAAUAUUUCCAAUAUGGAGUCCAUCUGAACUACCAUUAUUAAUCCCCUUCACAAACAGCAGGGAAGUACAGAUAUUAGUGGGUGAUUCAGAUAAAUGUCUAAAAAAGAAGAACCCUGUAAUUGACGGGUUUUUCCCAAUGUUUAUACAGGAUCAUAGGGAACUCACUCAGAUGUAGACAUCCACAUUAGGGAUGGCUCCCUUCAGGUGAGAGAAGUUUCAUUUCUUUUCAGAAGAAACCAGUUCUGCCCUUUUCCCUGUCUGCUGGAGAGAAGAAUAAGAAAGCUGUUUCUCCUCCACAUGAUAGCAUCUGGAGAUAACAGAGAAGAGCCUUUGGGUUGAGCAUGUAGAGAAGAUGGAAGAAAGAAACAAAGAAGGAGGAAAAUGUCUUGUUCUUUCAUUCGCACCUGUUAAUUUAAUAGCCAGAAUCAUCCAUCAUGGUGAAGUACAAGGAAGAUAUUGCAUGAAAGGACCAGCAAGACGCCUCAAAUUGCACUUGCUGCAUCUGCAGGUGUUGUGGGAUGCAUUCCUUGGCUUAACUGGGACAGGCUGGUGUAGCUGCAGUGGAAGACUGGGAGGCUGCAGAAAGAUGUGCUGUGAAAUGAGCUGUAGAACCUUCCCCUUAGGAGUGCAGAAGGGUGGCAUGGAGAGUCAGGACAUGUAUGCAGGAAAUGAAGACACAGUAAGAAGAUGCUGCUUUUCUUGGAGAGUCCAGAAGUGCUGAAUUGCACUGGUUUGCCCCUGUGCUUCUCCAUGCAGCUUCCUAACCCACCCGGGAGCAUGCGCUGGCGCUGUGCCCCUCAGGAAGCUGACAGCAGAGCCAGAUCACUGCAAUGGAAGGUGUGUGGGAAACUUGCAUGACAGCCUGGUGGUUUGCAGCAGGGACAUCUCAAAACCAGGCAGCAGAUUCCAGCCUGCUGUGUUUUCCUGCAUCCCUGGCCAAGGCUGGGACACGCUGCUUCAUGCAGAGGCAAUGUGAUGUUGGCGGGACUGAUUGGGCAAUAUCUUUCUGACAGACAAUGCUCUUUUACCAACAAACUUUUAUUUGGAAAGGAAAACUAUAUUUUGGCGCAGUGACCUUGAAGGAUUGCCAAGGUCUGAGGGGAAAUCUGCUUUUUUGGCAUCCUGUGAACCCUCAGGUUUUGGGGCAGAAGUGGCAGGGUGACAUCAGUAAGCAAGGAGCUCUCCGUAAGGAUUGGCUGUUACAAGAAUUGACACAGAUCAGGGCUCUCCCUUUGGACACCUUCUCCAUUAGUUCCCAUUAGCCUAACAAUACCCAACUCCUAGGGCUGAAUUGGUUAUUUUUACAUAUUCAAACUCAUGAUUUAUCCCUGGCUGUAAGAAAUGCAAGGGCUUGCAACCUCAUCCUAACACUCUUGUAUCAGCACUGAAAUUAAAUAAUAACUGCAUGUUAUUACACACAAAUACUUGUAGUAUAAAUUGCUUAAACAGAAUGUGAUGUUUGCCAUUUCUGAAUCUGGCCAUAAUGAAUUCUCUUGUUUUGAUAUUAUUCAAGCAAAGAAUUAAUCAGUUAGCCUUUGAUGGGAAAGGAGUAUUUUUCUCUUCAUUUUAGGUUUCUGUUUUCUAAGAAAAGGUACUGAAAACACUUAGAAGUACUGCUUAACAAUGCAAAUGAGCACAUUUACUUUACUAACAGAGUGUUUCUAUUCUUAAAUGGAAAAAAAAGAGAAUACCAUUUUUGAAAAGCUGUGAGAAAGCUACGAGGUUUGACACCUACAGACUUCUGUGGUUGAUAAAAAAAAAAAUAAAAAAAAUAAAAGAGUAAAAAUGUUCUUGCUU
This is a long non-coding RNA of Parus major (Great Tit), 2308 nucleotides long. The record is from Ensembl. Lineage: Eukaryota; Metazoa; Chordata; Aves; Passeriformes; Paridae.